This 433-nucleotide ribosomal RNA is filed under the name uncultured bacterium. RNAcentral's name for it is "partial 16S ribosomal RNA". It matches the Rfam family "Bacterial small subunit ribosomal RNA", at positions 29 to 507 of the family's 1533-position model. The record is from RNAcentral.
AACGAACGCUGGCGGCAUGCCUAACACAUGCAAGUCGAACGGGACCUUCGGGUCUAGUGGCGCACGGGUGCGUAACGCGUGGGAACCUGCCCUUAGGUUCGGAAUAACUCCCCGAAAGGGGUGCUAAUACCGGAUAAUGUCUUCGGACCAAAGAUUUAUCGCCUUUGGAUGGGCCCGCGUUGGAUUAGCUAGUUGGUAGGGUAAAAGCCUACCAAGGCGACGAUCCAUAGCUGGUCUGAGAGGAUGAUCAGCCACACUGGGACUGAGACACGGCCCAGACUCCUACGGGAGGCAGCAGUGGGGAAUAUUGGACAAUGGGCGAAGGCCUGAUCCAGCAAUGCCGCGUGAGUGAUGAAGGCCUUAGGGUUGUAAAGCUCUUUUACCCGGGAUGAUAAUGACAGUACCGGGAGAAUAAGCUCCGGCUAACUCCGUG